RNAcentral lists this unclassified non-coding RNA (163 nucleotides) under uncultured Helotiales. RNAcentral's name for it is "sequence contains ITS1". Lineage: Eukaryota; Fungi; Ascomycota; Leotiomycetes; Helotiales. The record is from RNAcentral.
CAGAGAAAUUGCCCUUUGGGGUAGAUCUCCCACCCUUUGUUUACAUUACCUUUGUUGCUUUGGCAGGCCCGUCUCUUGACCACCGGCUCAGGCUGGUUCGCGCCUGCCAGAGGACCCUAAACUCUUGAUAUUUGUGCUGUCUGAGUAAUAUAUAAAAAGUUAA